GGAGGGAUGGCCGAGCGGUUGAAGGCGGCGGUCUUGAAAACCGCUAUGGGCGCCAAGCCCAUCGGGGGUUCGAAUCCCUCUCCCUCCGCCA
This 91-nucleotide transfer RNA is filed under the name Allomeiothermus silvanus. RNAcentral describes it as "Meiothermus silvanus tRNA-Ser". It matches the Rfam family "tRNA". Rfam says of the family: Transfer RNA (tRNA) molecules are approximately 80 nucleotides in length. Their secondary structure includes four short double-helical elements and three loops (D, anti-codon, and T loops). Lineage: Bacteria; Thermotogati; Deinococcota; Deinococci; Thermales; Thermaceae. The record is from RNAcentral. RNAcentral also lists the same sequence under 1 other name.